This 1405-nucleotide ribosomal RNA is filed under the name metagenome. Its description in RNAcentral is "bacterial SSU rRNA". It matches the Rfam family "Bacterial small subunit ribosomal RNA", at positions 148 to 1520 of the family's 1533-position model. The record is from RNAcentral.
ACUUCGAAAGGGGUGCUAAUACCGCAUGAACUUAAUAUAUGACAUCAUAUAAUAAGUAAAGGUAGUAGAACAGCGUAGCUAUCGAUAAAUGAGAUUCUCAUGUCCUAUCAGCUAGUUGGUAAGGUAAUGGCUUACCAAGGCGACGACGGGUAGUUGGUCUGAGAGGAUGACCAGCCACACUGGAACUGAGACACGGUCCAGACUCCUACGGGAGGCAGCAGUGAGGAAUAUUGCGCAAUGGGGGAAACCCUGACGCAGCGACGCCGCGUGGACGAUGAAGCCUUUAGGGGUGUAAAGUCCCUUCGUAAGGGAAGAAAAAGAUAUAUAGGAAAUGAUAUAUAAUUGACGGUACCUUAAGAAGAAGCCCCGGCUAACUACGUGCCAGCAGCCGCGGUAAUACGUAGGGGGCAAGCGUUAUCCGGAAUUACUGGGUGUAAAGGGCGUGUAGGCGGUUAAGUAAGUCAGAUGUGAAAUUUCAGGGCUCAACCUUGAAACUGCAUUUGAAACUGCAUAACUAGAGUACAGGAGAGGAAAGCGGAAUUUCCGGUGGAGCGGUGAAAUGCAUAGAUAUCGGAAGGAACACCAGUGGCGAAGGCGGCUUUCUGGACUGUAACUGACGCUGAGACGCGAAAGCGUGGGGAGCGAACAGGAUUAGAGACCCUGGUAGUCCACGCCGUAAACGAUGGAUACUAGGUGUAGGGAGGAAAAAAUCUCUCUGUGCCGGAGUUAACGCAUUAAGUAUCCCACCUGGGGACUACGAGCGCAAGCUUAAAACUCAAAGGAAUUGACGGGGGCCCGCACAAGCGGUGGAGCAUGUGGUUUAAUUCGAUGCAACGCGAAGAACCUUACCUAGAUUUGACAUUAUAGUGCAAUCUAUAGAGAUAUAGAGUUCCUUUCGGGGACGCUAUAACAGGUGCUGCAUGGCUGUCGUCAGCUCGUGUCGUGAGAUGUUGGCUUAAGUGCCGCAACGAGCGCAACCCGUGUCAUUAGUUGCCAGCGAGUAAUGUCGGGAACUCUAGUGAGACUGCCGGUGAUAAACCGGAGGAAGGUGCGGAUGACGUCAAGUCCUCAUGGCCUUUAUGUCUAGGGCUACACACGUGCUGCAAUGGUUGAUACAGAGGGCAGCGAACUCGUGAGGGUAAGCAAAUCCCAAAAAGUCAGCCCAAGUUCGGAUUGCAGUCUGCAACUCGACUGCAUGAAGUUGGAAUCGCUAGUAAUCGCGGAUCAGCAAUGCCGCGGUGAAUACGUUCUCGGGCCUUGUACACACCGCCCGUCACACCACGAAAGUUGGUAACACCCGAAGAAGCCGAGCUAAUCUGAAUUUAUUUGGAAGGCAAGUUUCUAAGGUGGGAUCGAUAAUUGGGGUGAAGUCGUAACAAGGUAGCGGUAGGGGAACCUGCUGCUG